AGAGUUUGAUCCUGGCUCAGGAUGAACGCUGGCGGCGUGCUUAACACAUGCAAGUCGAACGAAGCAUAAAAAAUAAUCCUUCGGGUGCGUUCUGUAUGACUUAGUGGCGGACGGGUGAGUAACGCGUGGGGAACCUGCCCUGUACUGGGGGACAACAGUUAGAAAUGACUGCUAAUACCGCAUAAGCGCACAGGACCGCAUGGUCCGGUGUGAAAAACUCCGGUGGUACAGGAUGGACCCGCGUCUGAUUAGGUAGUUGGCGGGGUAACGGCCCACCAAGCCGACGAUCAGUAGCCGACCUGAGAGGGUGACCGGCCACAUUGGGACUGAGACACGGCCCAAACUCCUACGGGAGGCAGCAGUGGGGAAUAUUGCACAAUGGGGGAAACCCUGAUGCAGCGACGCCGCGUGAGUGAAGAAGUAUUUCGGUAUGUAAAGCUCUAUCAGCAGGGAAGAAAAUGACGGUACCUGACUAAGAAGCCCCGGCUAACUACGUGCCAGCAGCCGCGGUAAUACGUAGGGGGCAAGCGUUAUCCGGAUUUACUGGGUGUAAAGGGAGCGUAGACGGUAGAGCAAGUCUGAAGUGAAAGCCCGCGGCUCAACUGCGGGACUGCUUUGGAAACUGUUCAACUGGAGUGCUGGAGAGGUAAGCGGAAUUCCUAGUGUAGCGGUGAAAUGCGUAGAUAUUAGGAGGAACACCAGUGGCGGAGGCGGCUUACUGGACGGUAACUGACGCUGAGGCUCGAAAGCGUGGGGAGCAAACAGGAUUGGAUACCCUGGUAGUCCACGCCGUAAACGAUGAAAACUAGGU
This 811-nucleotide ribosomal RNA is filed under the name uncultured bacterium. RNAcentral's name for it is "bacterial SSU rRNA". It matches the Rfam family "Bacterial small subunit ribosomal RNA", at positions 8 to 821 of the family's 1533-position model. The record is from RNAcentral.